UACGAAGGGGGCGAGCGUUGUUCGGAUUUACUGGGCGUAAAGGGCGCGUAGGCGGCGCGGUAAGUCGGGUGUGAAAUCUCGGGGCUUAACUCCGAAACUGCAUUCGAUACUGCGGUGCUUGAGGACUGGAGAGGAGACUGGAAUUCAUGGUGUAGCAGUGAAAUGCGUAGAGAUCAUGAGGAAGACCAGUGGCGAAGGCGGGUCUCUGGACAGUUCCUGACACUGAGGCACGAAGGCCAGGGGAGCAAACGGG
RNAcentral lists this ribosomal RNA (253 nucleotides) under uncultured bacterium. RNAcentral's name for it is "partial 16S ribosomal RNA". It matches the Rfam family "Bacterial small subunit ribosomal RNA", at positions 524 to 776 of the family's 1533-position model. The record is from RNAcentral.